AAAAAUGACUUAUAAGUCAUUUUAUAUAAGCAACUUUGACCCGUCCGUUCGUUAUUUUUUAAGCAAUAAUUCUGGGGCGAUCGGGAAUUUGCGACCGGGAUUGGCGACAGGGUGAGGUGGACAUGCCAAAUCAGCAUCAUGAGAGAAAAAAAAAACUCCUCAAAUAAUCUCACUUUACCCGUACUUUCCCAUCACUUUACGGUCUUUACCAAAAAACUCUCUCUCUCUCACCAAACUCUUUGCUUCGCUGCCGCUGCUCCGCUACAAGGUAUGCAUCAAAACCUCAUCUGCUUCUACUUUCCAAUGCAACACCUAGAUGUCUCAUCCCUCUCCCUUUCCCAUUUUGUAUAAAAUUAGACAAAUCCCCUGGACCCGCUCUGAUACAUGUAGCUAGCUAUUUGUGAUUUUUAGAGUGGGUUUACUGAGUAAUUAGAGAAGAAAGGAGUGAUUGACUGGAUUUUACAAGAAUUCAGACUCUACUAGGGUCAAUUAGAGGUUCAAAUUACCUUCUUUUUGCUUUUUCAUUACUUGGCCCCUGUUUAUCUACUGUAGUGGUGAUUCCUGUCCACUAAAAUAUCACCUGUGUAUCACGGCUCAAAAGAGUGAAAUAGCACAGCUGAAAGGUUGGUUAGGAAGAGACAGGUUCAUGGUAUCAAGGUAUGGUUAUUUACAACAUAAGUAAAAUUUAAGUAUAUUUAUUAGUUGAGGUGUGAACAUGAUGGUCAAGUGUUCAAAUUAAUAAUCUCUGUCAUUGAUUUUCAUGAUGUUGGUUUAUUUCUCAUGGCCCAUUCUUGGGGUUCAAUUGUUUUUCUUGAGCUAAAAAACGGUUCUUUCCGCACUACCUCUCCCCUGAACAAAAUGUAACAGGUAUCUAAGUGAAUGAAGGAAAACUAUAGCUAGAUGCUUGGUUACAUUUACAUGGAAAUUUUCCUUUACACAUAUGACUAUACUCUGGAGUUUUUUAGUUGUAAAAAAGAAAAGUAAAGAAAGUUAAAGAAAAGAAGGGAAGAGAAGAGAAAGUUUUACUUUCUUUUCUCUAGCUUUCUUCUCAAAAGUGAGAAGAAAUUUUUUGACUCAAAAUGCACUCACUUUUCUUAACUUUCUUUUCUUUAAUCCACUAUCAAAGAUUUAGCUAAAUAAAUCCAAGAAUUUGCACAAAAUUUAAUUCCUUUUCAAAAAUUACCUUUUUAAUUUCUGAAUAAGAAUUUUCUUUUAGCUAAAUACAUCCACUAUAAGCUCCAAAAAGGUGGGGAGCCAAGUACAUGUGGUUAAUAUAUUUUUAUAAAUUUCCAGAAAUGGCAUGUCCUGAUGAGUUUGAUUCAUGUAUGAGAAUGAAUGAUAUUGAGGAAUGUGCUUUGGCGGAGGAUUUAGUAGAGUGAAGAAGUUGAUGAAGUGAUUAGAGAUCCGAAAGCAGAAAUGGAGUUUGGUUCCGUUGAUGAGGGGGUUUCCCCUUUCAUUUUCAGGUAUAAUAUCUUAUUUUACUGCUUUCUCUUUCAAUUUUUGGGUUUCUUCUUCGGUGUUAUUUGUUGCUGAAAAUCAUCAUUUUAUUUUUCUUGUUGCAGGAGUACUAUAAACCAUAUUGGAGGAGUGGUGAAGGAUGUGAUAUGAACAAUAGGAGCGGAUAAUUUUGUUGUAAUUUGAUUGCAAGUUUCACUCUCAAAUAGCUGCUCAUCGUGAAGUAAUAUGAUUGUAAUUUAUCUGAACAAUAGGAGCCAAACUGUGUUGAUUAUCUUCAACAUUAAUAUUGUUAGUUCAGGAUCUUUUAUUUUUCAAUUGUACAAUGAUUUGUCUUACAAUGGAAUGGACAUAUAGAGGUAUUUAUGAAAUCAUGAUAUGUUAAUUUAGUCUGAUUCAACAGCUG
This 1861-nucleotide long non-coding RNA is filed under the name Panax ginseng (ginseng). RNAcentral describes it as "long non-coding RNA (PGIN_LNC000970)". Lineage: Eukaryota; Viridiplantae; Streptophyta; Magnoliopsida; Apiales; Araliaceae. The record is from RNAcentral.